ACAAUCGCUAUUUGCAAAACAUCAACAACCAUCCUAAAAAUAUGGUUAAACAAUAGAUCUGAUGAAAAAAAAACCCACCAACAAACUAUGCACAUCACAAACCAUCCAUAACAGAUCAGAUCACAAAAAUCACCAACAAAUAUGUCAUUAAAUAGGCAGCAUCAUUGGCACCACCUCAUAAGCAGCAUUAUCGACGCCUAAUAAGCAACAUCAUCAGCACUGCCUCUACUGUGGGCAGCAUCAUCUACCAACAACAAAACAACCCAUAAUAAAAAAAAAAAAUCACAAUCGCUAUUUGCAAAACAUCAACAACCAUCCUAAAAAUAUGGUUAAACAAUAGAUCUGAUGAAAAAAAAAACCCACCAACAAACUAUGCACAUCACAAACCAUUCAUAACAGAUCAGAUCACAAAAAUCACCAACAAAUAUGUCAUUAAAUAGGCAGCAUCAUUGGCACCACCUCAUAAGCAGCAUUAUCGACGCCUAAUAAGCAACAUCAUCAGCACUG
Molecule: long non-coding RNA, 507 nt
Filed under: Olea europaea (common olive)
Lineage: Eukaryota; Viridiplantae; Streptophyta; Magnoliopsida; Lamiales; Oleaceae
Description: long non-coding RNA (OEUR_LNC005383)
Source: RNAcentral